Molecule: ribosomal RNA, 467 nt
Filed under: uncultured bacterium
Lineage: Bacteria
Description: partial 16S ribosomal RNA
Rfam family: Bacterial small subunit ribosomal RNA
Source: RNAcentral
ACGAACGCUGGCGGCGUGCUUAACCCAUGCAAGUCGAACGGAAAGGCCCUGCUUUUGUGGGGUGCUCGCGUGGCGAACGGGUGAGUAACACGUGAGUAACCUGCCCUUGACUUUGGGAUAACUUCAGGAAACUGGGGCUAAUACCGGAUAGUAGCUCCUGCUGCAUGGUGGGGGUUGGAAAGUUUCGGCGGUUGGGGAUGGACUCGCGGCUUAUCAGCUUGUUGGUGGGGUAGUGGCUUACCAAGGCUUUGACGGGUAGCCGGCCGGAGAGGGUGACCGGCCACAUUGGGACUGAGAUACGGCCCAGACUCCGACGGGAGGCAGCAGUGGGGAAUAUUGCACAAUGGGCGGAAGCCUGAUGCAGCAACGCCGCGUGCGGGAUGACGGCCUUCGGGUUGUAAACCGCUUUCGCCUGUGACGAAGCGUGAGUGACGGUAAUGGGUAAAGAAGCACCGGCUAACUACGUG